GGAUUGCGNAUGGGGGAACCCUGACGCAGCAACGCCGCGUGGGUGAUGAAGGCCUUCGGGUCGUAAAGCCCUGUCAGGUGGGAAGAAACUCGUGGAUGCUAAUAUCAUCCACGCUUGACGGUACCACCGGAGGAAGCACCGGCUAACUCCGUGCCAGCAGCCGCGGUAAUACGGAGGGUGCAAGCGUUGUUCGGAAUUAUUGGGCGUAAAGCGCGUGUAGGUGGUUGGGUAAGUCAGAUGUGAAAGCCUCCUGCUUAACAGGAGAAGUGCAUUUGAAACUGCUCGGCUAGAGUACGGGAGAGGAGAGUGGAAUUCCCGGUGUAGAGGUGAAAUUCGUAGAUAUCGGGAGGAACACCAGUGGCGAAGGCGGCUCUCUGGUCCGAUACUGACGCUGAGACGCGAAAGCGUGGGGAGCAAACAGGAUUAGAUACCCUGGUAGUCCACGCCGUAAACGAUGGGCACUAGGUGUAGGAGGUAUUGACCCCUUCUGUGCCGAAGCUAACGCAUUAAGUGCCCCGCCUGGGGAGUACGGCCGCAAGGCUAAAACUCAAAAAAAUUGACGGA
RNAcentral lists this ribosomal RNA (564 nucleotides) under uncultured bacterium. Its description in RNAcentral is "bacterial SSU rRNA". It matches the Rfam family "Bacterial small subunit ribosomal RNA", at positions 359 to 917 of the family's 1533-position model. The record is from RNAcentral.